UGAGUAACGCGUGGAUAACCUGCCUCACGACUGGGGGAUUAACAGACGAGAAAUUGCUGCUAAUACCGCAGUAAGCGCACAGCAUUGCAUGAUGCAGUGUGAAAAACUAAGGUGAUGUAGAGAUGGAUCCGCGUCUGAUUAGCUAGUUGUAGGGUAAGAGCCUACCAAGGCGACGAUCAGUAGCCGGCCUGAGAGGGUGAACGGCCACAUUGGGACUGAGACACGGCCCAAACUCCUACGGGAGGCAGCAGUGGGGGAUAUUGCACAAUGGGGGAAACCCUGAUUCGCAGCGACGCCGCGUGAGUGAAGAAGUAUUUCGGUAUGUAAAGCUCUAUCAGCAGGGAAGAAAAUGACGGUACCUGACUAAGAAGCCCCGGCUAACUACGUGCCAGCCGCAGC
This 399-nucleotide ribosomal RNA is filed under the name uncultured bacterium. Its description in RNAcentral is "bacterial SSU rRNA". It matches the Rfam family "Bacterial small subunit ribosomal RNA", at positions 107 to 518 of the family's 1533-position model. The record is from RNAcentral.